GCGGACUUCGGUCCGCAAGUACAGUGGCAUACGGGUGAGUAACACGUGGGUAACCUGCCCGGAGGUGGGGGACAACUCUUCGAAAGGAGAGCUAAUACCGCAUAACAUCCUGAGCACUUCGGUGCAUGGGAUCAAAGCUUGCCUCUGUUUCAUGCAAGCGCCACCGGAGGGACCCGCGCCCCAUUAGCUUGAUGGUGAGGUAACGGCUCACCAUGGCUACGAUGGGUAGCCGGCCUGAGAGGGUGAUCGGCCACACUGGAACUGAGACACGGUCCAGACUCCUACGGGAGGCAGCAGUGAGGAAUCUUGCGCAAUGGGCGAAAGCCUGACGCAGCGACGCCGCGUGGAGGAAGAAGGCCUUCGGGUCGUAAACUCCUGUCAAGAGGGACGAAUCCCUAUCGAAUGAAUAAGUCGGUAGGUUGACGGUACCUCUGAAGGAAGCCCCGGCUAACUCCGUGCCAGCAGCCGCGGUAAUACGGAGGGGGCAAGCGUUGUUCGGAAUUAUUGGGCGUAAAGGGCACGUAGGCGGUCAAGUAAGUUGGUGGUGAAAGCCCUCGGCUCAACCGAGGAAUUGCCCCCAAAACUGCUCGACUUGAGUCCCGGAGAGGGUGGCGGA
RNAcentral lists this ribosomal RNA (616 nucleotides) under uncultured bacterium. Its description in RNAcentral is "bacterial SSU rRNA". It matches the Rfam family "Bacterial small subunit ribosomal RNA", at positions 73 to 665 of the family's 1533-position model. The record is from RNAcentral.